RNAcentral lists this long non-coding RNA (27141 nucleotides) under Malus domestica (apple). Its description in RNAcentral is "long non-coding RNA (MDOM_LNC015872)". Lineage: Eukaryota; Viridiplantae; Streptophyta; Magnoliopsida; Rosales; Rosaceae. The record is from RNAcentral.
GUCCUGGUGCCAAUCUGUCUUCAUCAGAGAUUGCAGCCCAUAUCGGCAGCGGCACCAGGAAUUCUGAGGCACCGAUGAUGUUGGAUCGUAUUCUAAGGCUCCUAGCCAGUUACUCUAUUCUCAGCUGCUCUGUCGUUGCUAAUGAAGAAGAUGGGUCUGAUUCUCAGAGGCUCUACAGCCUUGGUCCUGUGUCCAACUACUUUGUGACUAAUGAAGAUGGUAUUUCUUUCGGUCCCAUGAUGGCAUUGAUUCAAGACAAGGUCGUCCUAGACUCCUGGUCUGUUUAGUACUACUCUCUUGCCCCUACGAAUUAACCAUUGCCUUAACCCUUUUCUCUUUUUAUUCAUCUAUAUUUUGUUUUUAGAAUUAUUAGAGAUAAUUAGAGCAAUAGUUCUGAAUUUUAGUUCAAUUGGAACUUUGGUCUUUAAAUUAAAUAUCCCUAAAUAUUGGUCUCUAAACUUGUUACAAUGGAAAACAAUAAUUUUUUUGAAUAACUCCAUAUGAACUUCGUCCCUAUUUGGCCCCUUUAAACUUUUUAUUCUAAAAGGAAAUUACCAAGAAUGUUAUUCAGAAUGACUAUUGCUUCACAUUAUGGCAAGUUUAGGAAGCAAUACUACAAAAAUUUUAGUUCAUGAACCAAAGCUUAAAUUGUGCCAAAAUUGCACCAAUUUUUUGAAAUUAUUAUGAAAAAGAAACCAAUAUAACUUGAAAAUAACUUAUCUAUUUUGCACGACUCGCUAUAAACUCAUUUGGCAAUUUUCAUUUGUUUCAUUCUGGAAUCACUUACAAGUUAUUUAUUUACAACAAAUUAGAAAUUGCCACAUCAAUCAUUGUAGAAAAGAAAUUGGUCUCUCUAGCUUUUAUUUUCUAAUUAGCCUAAUUACUAGUAAUUAUCUUGUUUCAGAAAAAAAAAUAGUAAUUUAUCUUUUUAACUCUAACUUGGGUGAUACACAUUGACAUUGAUAGGUCCCAACUGAAAGAUGCAGUUGUUGAAGGAGGAAUUCCAUUUAACAGGGUCUAUGGCAAGGGGUGUUUUGAGUACCUAGGUUUAGACCCCAGGUUUAAUCAAGUUUUCAACACAGCAAUGUUUAACCACACCACUAUUGUCACCAACAAGAUUCUUCAUCUCUACAAGGGUUUUGAGAAAAUUACCCAACUUGUUGAUGUUGGUGGUGGUUUGGGAGUCACCAUUAGUCUAAUCACUUCUAAGCAUCCCCAUAUUAAGGGUAUCAAUUAUGACUUGCCUCAUGUCAUAAAACAUGCCGCUUCAUAUCCUGGUAAAGAUCACUUUAGUUAAUUUGAUUCGUAAUAGUUAGUUGGAACAUGAUGUUUGCACACUCACCAUUUUCCUUUCCCUACACACUUAUGUUUUAGCUUCAGGUUGAAUAAAUCAUAUAAGAAUCAAAAGACAUAAAUAUAAAAAGAUAUACAAAAGAAGCAAACGACAUGCGGGAAUUAUUUUUCUUCUUUUUUUAUUUAUCAUGCACAAGCCCUGCAACUUAAAAUAGGAAUUAAUUUAUUUUUGCAGGGGUAGAACAUGUUGGAGGAGACAUGUUUGCAAGUGUUCCAUCUGGGGAUGCCAUUUUGUUGAAGGUUAUUUUUCAUUUUCCCGAACAUUAAUUUUAUUUUCCUCUUUAGUUUUAGGUCAUACGAACAAUGGUUACAAUGUAUCUUUUGAUAAAUUUGUAGUGGAUACUUCACGAUUGGAGUGACCAACACUGCCUAAAGCUGUUGGAAAAUUGUUACAAUGCUAUUCCAGAUUAUGGAAAAGUGAUUAUUGUGGAAGCACUUCUUCCAGUGAUGCCAGAGACUAGCACCGCCGUGAAGAGCACCUCCCUACUUGAUGUGCUUAUGCUGAGUCAAAACAGGGGAGGAAAGGAGCGGAGCCGAGAAGAGUUCAUGACUUUGGCAACUGGUGCUGGAUUUAGUGGCAUUAAAUAUGAAUGUUUUUUUUCCAGCUUUUGCGUGAUGGAGAUCUUUAAGUAAACACCUAUGUAUGUGAAGAUGAUCGGCAAAAUAGUGUUAUGCUUGAUUAUUAUUUCUUUGAGCUAUGUCUAGAUGUGUGUAUAAAUAAAAAUAACUGCUAGAUGUGGGUAUAAAUAAAAAUAACUCCGGCUCAUAAUUCGUAUGUACGUGAACAUGAUCAGCAAAAUAUUUUUCUUAUAACUACAAGGAGAUAUAUUAUGGCAAAAUGUGUACGUAUGUAUCUGACUAGAGAUGAGGCCUUUUGGCGGUAAGAAUUGGGUGUUUAUGCUCACCAACUUCCCACCUCUGUCGCCGUUUAAUGAGUUGAUAACUCGGCUCCUGCUCUUUGAAUCCAAGCAAGCUAUGAAUCAGGCUGUUGCUUCAACUCCUGCUACUUUCUGGCCGUAAUUCUGUUGUUGGUUUGUCUAAUGGUGCUUCUGGUUCGGGCUCCUCGCAGUAAUGGUGGUGGACGCUCUAAUGCUGAGCGAUAUGGUCAGCGUGGUGAUGUGCAUCAACGCCCUGGUAUCCUUGGACCAACCCUUGUCAACCGUAGAGCUCAGAGUUGGGCCUGCAAUCAAUUUGGCCACAUUGUCGCGUUUCGUCCUCAAGCUACUCGUUCAAAUGAUGAUACUUCUCGUGCUUUUGCUGGUAUGCAUAUUGCUUCUUCUUCUGAUCCAUCAUGGUAAUCGGAUACUGGUGCUACACAUCAUCGGGUAUGGUUCUAAUGGUGUGACCCUCCCUAUUGCGCACCGGUAAUAUUUCAUUUGAGUCAGGGUCAUUCAUUUUUCGCUUAUCGCAAGUUUUAUAUGUUCCAACAAUUAAGAAAAAAUUAUUGCCGUAUACUUUAAGAAGACAUCUAAGCCUCUAAAACAUUGAUUUCAUAUCUCAUUCGACAAAAAUAUCCUCUCUUUUUUUGGAACUUUAACAAAAAGCUCUCGGUACUGUUUACUUUAACGAAAAACCAUAUUUUCACACUAAAAAGUCAAUCAUGGUACUAUUCACUUUACCCUUUAUUUUGUUUUUAUCGUUAAAACUCAAAGUUUUCAAAUCAUUUUCAUUAGUUUUUUUUUUUUUCAUCAUCUGUGUUAUACUUUAGUGAUUAGGGCUUUGUUCUGCAAUGGACGUGAGAGUAUCCUUAAGAGCUUGGAGAAAACCAAUCUUAGAAUACAUGUAGAUAAAUAGUUGGGUGUAUUUAGAAACUAACUAGAAUUGGUACCCGCGCGUUGCUGCGGGAUUGAAAACUAUAUGAAAGAUUAUGCAAUUUCAAUCUUCAUAAACAAUGUUUGAGUCAAAAAUUGAGUUACCAAUACCAAUGCAAAUUAUACACAACCUCAUCAUGGAUGAAACAAAUUUAAAUAUCAAAAGAGAAAUCUAUUUCGUCUAUUAAAAAUAUUACGAAGUUCUUUGGAUACGAAAAAACCCAAAUUGCUUCUUGUCCAAAAACAUUAAUGGGAAAUGUUGUUUAUAGCAACGUUAAAAGUUGUCCUCUGCUAUGUUGGUCAUUAAGGAAGCAUCCCAAGCAAGGGAAAAAAAAUUGAAAUAAAUUUAUAGGUAGUAGAAUCAUAUCAUGAACAAAAUAAGGAUAAUGUGUGUUUACCUAGUGUUUCUGUGUGCAGAAAGAAGUCUGAUUUUGCACGAAAUGGAUAUGACCUUCUCUGGCAUUUCUAUAGAACGCGAUCAAAGUUUUGUGCGUUUCCAACUUACUUGCAACCAAGUUUCUACAAAAAUAUCUUUUUCAAGAAAGUAAUUAGACCAAGGCAUAAGAGAUUAUAAGAAAAAGUAUAGAAAAUAUAAACCACAUAUACCACUUAUUAUACUACUUUGUAUUCCGAAUACACCUAAAAAUAUAUCGCUUUCUAGUGAAUGGUUCGGUUCCAAUUAAUUCCACUUUAGUUUCUUUCAAACCCUUCAACUUAUCCUUGACUUUUUUUUUAACAGCAUCAUAAUUAAGAGUUAGCUAAUAAUAAAUAUACAAAUAUGUUAACCUUUAGUUGACCCUCGACAUGUGCUCGGAAGAGGGCUCUUCCAACAUCCUGAAAUCAUGUCAAGAGUUAAAAAAGAGCAAGAAAAAACUAAUGUAAGAGCUCUGUAAAAUUGAGGCGGAGCAUAUUACCUUAUAGGGCCUCUUUAAAAUCAGGUGGACCAAAUUCUAUUGCCAUCAUCAUCCAAUUUGUCAACCAUCUGAAAAAUGAAGAGAGAGUAUCUACAUAACUAAAAUCUGAAAAGUAAUAGCAAAAAAUGAGUCGGUUGUUUAAAACAACGAUCUAGUUAAGACAACAUCUAUACUUGCAUAUAAUUCACAAAUUCUGAGAUAGAAUAGUGUAAUAAGGAAUUUCCACCAAGUUCCUUUUUAGAGAUCCACCAGUCCCUCUCAAAAAUCCCACUUCAAUGAAAAGGAAGUUAGACCACACUAAAAAAUGCAUUACUCCAGCUUUUUUCAAAAAUGUUCUAAGAAGCUAAAUGCUUGAAGAACCUAAGAAGAUAAUAUAUAAAUUAAUACUAAAUUGUAAUAUUAAAUCUACAUAUACUAAAGUAAAGUUAUCGUAAAUGCGCAAAAAUAAAUCCAAACAAAAACUUGAAACUAAAAAACAAAUGGUUAUCAAACAGCACCUAAAGGAAUACACAUUUUGGAUUUAUUAAAUGGAGUUUUUCAAGACCUUCAAUUAAGUGAAACUAAUAUACAAAUACUAAAGAAUAAUAUCGCAUAGCUUUACCUCAAUCUUCUCAAAAUUGAUCAUGACACCCCCUUUUGUACCACAUGGAAUAUCCCUUGCCUACAAUGUUGCUAACAGAAGCUUUCAAACCUAUAAUGAAUGGAAGGACAGAAUCCUCAAUCUUCCAAACAUGGAUUACCAAAGUUACCUGAUCAGUCUGCAGGGUCACUUGAACAGGGUCAAAAUGGGUGACCGGAGGCAGAUUGAGAUGAAAACCUGAAAUUUGAAAUAAUGAGAAGCAGGCAAAUUUAAGGCCCUAUGCAAGCAACUUCUCAAUGCACAUCACCUGGAUCUGUAAUUGUCUUCAGAAGAGCGCUUCCACUCCAAUAUACCCCAACAUGACCUUCUGGGAUUGAUAUCAGUCCUUGGUUGAUACCCAGGUUCUGGUUCACAACUAAAUUUAUUAAUAUUCACAUAAUCAUGAGACACGAUUAGAUUAUUAGGUUCACAACUAAAUUAAAAAAACAUUCACAUAAUCAUGAGACAUCAUUCCAACUCAUUUCAUAUACCCAAAAGAAAAUCUAAAAUGAAACUAUGAUUUCCACCACAAAGAAGUUGGAAUUCUCUACUGUCACCACCCUGUUUUCUCUGCCCUGAAAUUGGAUGAAUCCAAUAUUGGACACAUAUUCUCACACUAAUUAGCAAAAAAAAAAAGAAAAAAUCUAAAGUUUUAAGAAAUUGGGAGCCAAAAUUCAAUAAUUAACCAAAACAAAGAAAAAUAUCUAAAACCCAGAUUUGAAAACAUAGAAAUAAACAUAUAUGCCACUCGCCAUUUCAGUGGCUUCUGGUUCUGUAAGGUUAUUUAUUUGACUGCUGUAGGGUAUACGAAACCAAGCGUAAAAUAAAUGGAGCAUGUUCAGAAAAUAUCCCAGAUGAAAACCCAAAAAAUCAGAAGAAAGAAAACCAAAAAUAAAAGGCCUAAUCGGAUAAAUGGUCCCCGUGGUCAUAAGGUAUUCGGAUGAUAGCCCCUGUGGUAAAAAAAUUCGGAUUUAAACCCCUGUGGUCUAAGUCUGUUAGGAUUUAUGCCCUUCUGUUAAAUAAUGCUGACGUGGCUGCCACAUAUAUGCCACGUGGCUGCCAAAUGUCUGCCACGUGGCAAAAUAAUAAUUUUUUUUUAAAACCUGAAUUUUUACAAAAAAAAAAAAAAAAACCCAGAACCUCCCCCCCCGCCCUCCACCCGUUCCCCCCCCCCCCCCGCCGUUCUUCUCCUUCUUCCUUCUUCUUCUUCUUCCCGCCAGUCUCCCCGCGCGACUCCUCCCUCUCCCUCUUCCUUCUUCUUCUUCUUCUUCUUCUUCUUCUUCCCGCCGGAGACCAGCUCCCCCCCUCCCCGCCGGAGCCCUCUCUCCGCGCCCUCCUCCCUCUCCCUCUUCCUUCUUCUUCUUCUUGCAGAUCUGCGUUUUUUUUUUUUUUUUGUAAAAAUUCAGGUUUUAAAAAAAAUUAAAAAUUAUUAUUUUUGCCACGUGGCAUAUAUGUGUCAGCCACGUCAGCAUUAUUUAACAGAAUGGCAUAAAUCCUAACAGACUUAGACCACAAGGGUUUAAAUCCUAACAGACUUAGACCACAGGGGUUUAAAUCCUAACAGACUUAGACCACAGGGGUUUAAAUCCGAAUUUUUUUACCACAGGGGCUAUCAUCCGAAUACCUUAUGACCACGGGGACCAUUUAUCCAAUUAUGCCAAAAUAAAAAUUACACGUUCCUAAAUUUCUUUUUGAGGUUUUAUCAGAAAUUUGUAAAUCAAAAUUAAAUUCCAAUCCAAACUCAAAUUGCAAAACAAUCAGAGCAUACAAAUUUAAUAACCCAAAAGGUUAAUGAAACCAAAGCUAUACUUGAGUACCUCACUCAAAGUUUCAGUUGGGUGUGUAGCAUAUGCUUCCCGAUAAGAAACAGCUUUCCGCAGGCGCUUCCCACGACCAAGAGCUACUUCUUCCUCACUUUGAUAUUUCUCCCAUCUACAAAUCCAACAAAAUGCAAGUAAGUCCUUAAUAAAUCAAGAAAAUGGGAGAUGGAAAGCACUUGGUACACAGGAAACCUCAUCAUAAACAUUAAAGAAUUCAACCUUCUCUCGAAAUCCAGACGUCAAUUUCAUCGGUUCCUCCGAUUUCCAGAAACCAAUCUGAAGCAUGCAGCAAUCCUAGUAAAGAAAAGGAGGGAGAGAGAGAAGGAGAAGCAGGGGUUUUUUUUUUUUUUUUUUUGGAUGAGAGAAAGCAGAAAACAACAGAAGAGUCGAGAAGCGGAAGUCGAAGCAGCGAUGAUGGACGCGUGGGAUAGGAGGGCAAACCCGUCUUUUUUCUGUGUAAAAUGGAAAAAAAGGGCUCAUAUCAAAGGAAUUGGAUGGCAGUUUCGUCCUUACACUGUUAAUAAACAGUGUUUUUGUUGAAUUUUAGUAUAUGUAUAAUUUGUUUUUUUUGUUUUUAAUUCAUAUACUGCCUAAAUAGUAAUUGCAUAUUAGAAUAAACACCUUAUUUAAUAAUAAAAUUCCAUGUGCCUGUACUUAAUAUUAUGUGAGGUGCCAAUAUAAACUUUAUUAACCAAAAAAAUAAAAACACACACACAUUACUAUUGAUGAGUAUUUGGAAGCUUGGAUUAUGUUUUCAUUUUUCAUUUUUUAUUUUUUUGGUCUGAAAAGCUAAAUGCAUUAAUCCGAUAGUAGGGUACAGGCCAACUCAAAGGAAGGCAAAAUAACUCAAAUACAUUGGGAAACAGAUACAUAAAAGCUUAGCCCAAAUAAAUAAACUAAAACGGGAACCCAAAUCCUUAAGUUUCGACCGUAGAAAGAAGCAUCCGCCACCGUCAUCGCCACGAAAGUCUUGCUAGCAGCUACUGAACUAGCAACACUAGAGAAAAUGACCAAGUGGUGAAAAUGAACAAGACAUCGCAGCACAAAAGUACCAAACCCACACCAAGAAGCACACCACAUCCAGAUUUCUUCACUAAAGAUGCAGAACCAAAAGAUAGUCACCAGAUCCAAAUUCCAUUCACGAAUCCCAACAAAUAUGUACAAACACAGUAACACAUGGAUAGUUUGUGAGGCUAAGGGGGUAUGUAAAAUACCCUUACUUUGGUUGAAGUCGCAGUACGCUUGGCCUCGAUGGAAAUUCGGCAAGCCAUUUUGGGGGGGGGGGACAGUGAGAAAGGGAAAUAAGGUUGGCAACCAUAUUUGGUCCAGAGUCAUGCAGAUCAGAGCAAAGGAUGGGGUGGGGAUGAUUUAUGGGGAAGGGAGGCAAAUGGGAAAAGUGAGGAAAGAUGGAGUUUUGGGUUUGGAAAAGAACGGCCAAAGGAAAUGGAGGGGUGGAGAGGAGGGACAUGAAGUCCAAAAGUGAGACAAACUCAUGGAAAAAUUUGAGACAAAGCUCAAGGAAAUUGAGAAAAAUCUCAGGAGAAAAUUGAAAAAGAAAGAAGAGGAUCAGGAGAAGGAAGGAAAUAGGAGAACAAGGAACUUGGACAAGGAUAGCCAUUGGCACCCAAGCCAAAGGCUAGGGCCGGCGGCAAAGGAGUUUGCAAGGUUUAGAAACUAGAGAGAGAGUCUCACGUGUCAGGUGGCAAAUUCACCUGUAUAACUAUCUUGCCUGUAUCACAUGUGAAACUUGGGAAUCUCCCCCCUCCCUCACACUAGGCCUGGCAAUUCCUGACACGACCCGAUAACCCGACACGACACGACACGAAAUUAAAAGGUGUUCGGGUCGACACGAUAACAAAACGGGUCGUUAUCGGGUAACCCGAUAAGCACCUGUUAAGAUAACGGGUUUGUUCGGGUAUACACGUGGGUAACACGAUACACGAUAAGCAGAAUAUUAAUUUAAUAAUUUAUAACCCAAAAAAAAUACUAUAAUAAUUAUAUAUAUAUAUUAAUUUAACAAUUUUAUACCCCUAAAAACUAUAAUAAUUAUAUAUAUAUAUAUAUAUUAAAUUAACUAUAAUAAUUAUAAUAAUUAUAUAUACUAUAAUAAUUAUACCCAAAAUAUUAACUAUAAUAAUUAUAUAUAUAUAUAUAUAUAUAUUAAAUUUUAUACCCCUAAAAACUAUAAUAAUUAUACAUACAAAAUAAAUAGAUUUAAAUCUACUUAAUAAAUAAAUAUAUAUACACACACACACACCAUUGAACUUCAUGGGAUACGAAUUAUACGAAACUAAUUUCAACGAUCCAACCGUCAAAAAUGUUUGUAUAUACUUCGAGAUCGCAUACGCCAAAAAUUGCAAAAAACAAACAUUCAGAGAGCAAGUAACGGGACAAAACUUUUCGACGGUUAUAAACGAAAAAUCACGAUUUAACGGUCAUUUUAACUCUGAUUUUGAUGAUUUUUUACAACCACACUCCUUGACCCUAUAUGAAUACAAUGAUUUAAUUCGAUCUUCAAUUUAAAAUAUUUACACUAGUGGAUACCACAAAAUCUUAUGUUAUACUUAAUAAAAGUAUGAAUAAACUCUUAAGUAUUAGUGAAUCUAUUGUUUUGAUGGGAUACUCAUUCUACAAAACUAGUUUCAAUGAUCCAACCGUCAAACAUGUUUGUAUAUACUUCGAGAUCGCAUACCCCAAAAAUUGCAAAAAACAAACAUUCAGAGAUCAAGUAAUGGGACAAAAGUUUUCGACAGUUAUAAACAAAAAAUCACGAUUUAACAGUUAUUUUAACUCUGAUUUUGAUGAUUUUUUACUACACUCCUUGACCCUAUAUGAAUACAAGUAAUGAAUUCGAUCUUCAAUUUAAAAUAUUUACACUAGUGGAUACCACAAAAUCUUAUGUUAUACUUAAUAAAAGUAUGAAUAAACUAUUAAGUAUUAGUGAAUCUAUUGUAUUGAUGGGAUACUCAUUCUACGAAACUAUUUUCAAAGAUCCAACCGUCAAACAUGUUUCUAUAUACUUCGAGAUCGCAUACGUCAAAAAUUACAAAAAACAAACAUUCAGAGAUCAAGUAACAGGACAAAACUUUUCGACGGUUAUAAAAAGAAAAAUCACGAUUUAACGGUCAUUUUAACUCUGAUUUUGAUGAUUUUUUGUAGCUACACUCCUUGACCUUAUAUGAAUACAAUGAUUGAAUUCGAUCUUCAAUUUAAAAUAUUUACACUAGUGGAUACCACAAAAUAUUAUAUUAUACUUAAUAAAAGUAUGAAUAAACUAUUAAGUAUUAGUGAAUCUAUUGUUUUAAUGGGAUACUCAUUCUACGAAACUAGUUUCAAUGAUCCAACCGUCAAACAUGUUUAUAUAUACUUCGAGAUCGCAUACGCCAAAAAUUGCAAAAAACAAACAUUCAGAGAUCAUGUAACGGGACAAAACAUUUCGACGGUUACAAACGAAAAAUCACGAUUUAACGAUUAAUUUAACUCUGAUUUUGAUGAUUUUUUACAACUACACUCCUUGACCCUAUAUGAAUACAAUGAUUGAAUUCGAUCUUCAAUUUAAAAUAUUUACACUAGUGGAUACCACAAAAUCUUAUGUUAUACUUAAUAAAAGUAUGAAUAAACUCUUAAGUAUUAGUGAAUCUUUUGUUUUGAUGGGAUAUUCAUUCUACGAAACUAGUUUCAAUGAUUCAACCGUCUAACAUGUUUUUAUAUAUUUCGAGAUCGCAUACACCAAAAAUUGCAAAAAACAAACAUUCAGAGAGCAAGUAACGGGACAAAACUUUUCGACGGUUAUAAACGAAAAAUCACGAUUUAACGGUUAAUUUAACUCCGAUUUUGAUGAUUUUUUACAACUACACUCCUUGACCUUAUAUGAAUACAAUGAUUGAAUUUGAUCUUCAAUUUAAAAUAUUUACACUAGUGGAUACCACAAAAUCUUAUGUUAUACUUAAUAAAAGUAUGAAUAAACUCUUAAGUAUUAGUGAAUCUAUUGUUUUAAUGGGAUACUCAUUCUACGAAACUAGUUUCAAUGAUCCAACCGUCAAACAUGUUUGUAUAUAUUUCGAGAUCGCAUUCGCCAAAAAUUGCAAAAAAAAAACAUUCAGAGAGCAAGUAACGGGACAAAACGUUUCGACGGUUAUAAAUGAAAAAUCACGAUUUAACGGUUAAUUUAACUCCGAUUUUGAUGAUUUUUUACAACUACACUCCUUGACCUUAUAUGAAUACAAUGAUUGAAUUCGAUCUUCUAUUUAAAAUAUUUACACUAGUGGAUACCACAAAAUCUUAUGUUAUACUUAAUAAAAGUAUGAAUAAACUAUUAAGUAUUAGUGAAUCUAUUGUUUUGAUGGGAUACUCAUUCUACGAAACUAGUUUCAAAGAUCCAACCGUCAAACAUGUUUGUAUAUACUUCGAGAUCGCAUACAUCAAAAAUUACAAAAAACAAACAUUUAGAGAUCAAUUAACGGGACAAAACUUUUCGACGGUUAUAAAAAGAAAAAUCACAAUUUAACGGUCAUUUUAACUCUGAUUUUGAUGAUUUUUUGCAUCUGCACUCCUUGACCUUAUAUGAAUACAAUGACUGAAUUCGAUCUUCAAUUUAAAAUAUUUACGCUAUUGGAAACCACAAAAUCUUAUUUUAUACUUAAUAAAAGUAUGAAUAAACUAUUACGUAUUAGUGAAUCUAUUGUUUUGAUGGGAUACUCAUUCUACGAAACUAGUUUCAAAGAUCCAACCGUCAAACAUGUUUGUAUAUACUUCAAGAUCGCAUACGUCAAAAAUUACAAAAAACAAACAUUCAGAGAUCAAGUAACGGGACAAAACUUUUCGACGGUUAUAAACGAAAAAUCAUGAUUUAACGGUCAUUUUAACUCCGAUUUUGAUGUUUUUUUACAACCACACUCCUUGACCCUAUAUGAAUACAAUGAUUGAAUUCGAUCUUCAAUUUAAAAUAUUUACACUAGUGGAUGCCACAAAAUCUUAUAUUAUACUUAAUAAAAGUAUGAAUAAACUAUUAAGUAUUAGUGAAUCUAUUGUUUUGAUGGGAUACUCAUUCUACGAAACUAGUUUCAAUGAUCCAACCGUCAAACAUGUUUCAUGAUGAUCGAUGUAAAUCAAGGAUUUUGUAAAUUGAGGUUUAAACUUUUGAGAAAGAUUUCACAACCUUGAAAACAAAAACUGUUUCAUUUUGCAUAUCCUUGCACAUUUAAAAUUUGUAAUAGAUUAGUAGUGUAUGUAUUAUUUUUUUAUUAGGCUCUUAUUUUCGAGUGUAGAUGUAGUACUUAAACGACAAAUGUGUUUUAAUGUUUUGAAGUAAUAUUUAUGUGGCAAUGUGUGGUAUGUGCAAAUUUAAGAAAAAAAAUAUAUUUUUCUUAACGGGUCAUAACGGGUCGGGUCACUUUACCCGUUGGGUUGACCCAAGGUGUUAAUUGUUUUGUAGGUGCAAUUUUGUCCAAGAAGAAGAAGAUGGAAAUUUGCAUCCACAAAUUUGAUAAGUAAACAUCAACAAUUUCUGUACCGACUGAAGCUUUGUUCUGCAAUCUUUACCAUCGUUUGGUUGCUGAGAAAAUUGAAAGCAAGAAAGAGAUUGAAGAAAGUACAUUGUGAAGAAAGUACUUUGUGAGCGAACCAUAUCGGAUUGAGGGAUUUUUGGACAAAAGGACAAUGACGGGGACUACUCCAAUUACUCACUAGAAACUUGCUAGAGAAGGCAUAGUUUCCGGCGACGGUGGUUCGAUCAGAAUGGUGAGAAAAUGGAAGAUGAUAACACAGCCUCCACAGGGAUGGUAUAUACAGGUAGAGAUCAAUGCCCGCUAUUUGGUUUGGUCGUAGUCUUGCUAAAACUAAUUUUGUUGAUUGUUACCUAUCCGUUAAAAUAUUUUUGGUAUGAACAUGUCAAAAAGUUUUAAAAAAAAUCUGUUCGUUUGAAAUUGCUUUUAAAACGGUUAAAAAUGGUGAAAUAUGUUACGAUUAAGUUCAAAAGCAAAAAUUUUAAAGCGUUUCUAACUCUUACAGCAUUUUUUUGUUUAAGCUUAUAAAGAUUUUGCUUUAGGGAGAAAAUGGGAGAGCACUAAAUUAGCUCGUACACUUAUUAAUAAGAAUAAAGUUUUACUAAUAAAAAUAAAGUUUUCUGCUCUAACUAAAAAUAAAAUAAUUAUAAAAAAAGGUUAUUAAUUACUUUGCCCUCAAAUUGUAAUUUAGUAUCCUUUUAUACCCUGAAACUGAUUUAACGUCUGUUUGACUAAAUGGAUGAAAAAUAGGAUAAAUUGAGACUAAAUGAGAUGGAAAUGUGGGACAAAGUGAGACAAAACUGACUAAAUAACAAUUUCAUGAGGUAAAUCAAUUCAUAAGAUUCAUAAAUAAUAAUAAUAAAAAUCUCUUAGUUUCAAAGUUUUCCCACAUGAAACCAUCACUCAAUCAAAUAUAUUGAACGUUGCUUCAUAUGCUACCUUGCAUGGUGGCUUUUUUCUUUGGGAUGCCCUCUGACCCUGAAUUUCUUUUUAAUAUUCUUGCAGAAGAUGUAAACAUUUUUAUUAGGAUUUAAUAAAGUUUACGCUUUAACAAAAAAAAAAAUAUACAUUGAACGGUCUAUUAGUUGAGAGAGAUAAAUGAGAGAGGACAAAGAAAUUAAAAAAUGAGGAUAAUAGCCUCAAAAAAUUGGUAAAUGAAUAUACAAAUCUCAAAAUAUAAACUCAUCAAAUAGCAAUAAACAAAAAUACACUCUCGUAAAAAGGCGCCUAUAGUGAUGCGUUGUAGGCCCUAAUCUAAAGUGUAAUUGAAGUGAGAAGGGGAAAGGAGAAAGUGAAAAACGGUUGGUGUCCCGGUACUUUCACUGCGGUUUACGGACGAUGAUUUUAAUCUUUGUUUAAUGAAUGGCCUAUACAAUAUUUGAAAAACAAAAUUGGUCCCACGUUUUUUUGGUAAGGGGCACUUUGAUUCAGGUCCAAAAAAUUCAACUGUUUUUGAAUUGGGUCCAAUUUUAUUUGAUUUUCUAUUACACCUGUUUUGCCCCUCGAAUUUUUUUUUAAUUCUUUAAAUUUGAAUUUUUAAAAUUAUCUUCAAAUACCUUUAUCUACCUGUUUUCUAAUAAAAAGACAUUAUUACACAUCUUAUAAGUUUAUCAAAAAUUAAAAGAAACAUUGCCAGAGGUAGAUAAAAAAUAAAAUAAAAAAAUUUGUGAUGUAGGUAGAAUCUAUGAUAGAGGUAGACUAUGAACAAAAACCUAUUGUAUAGAUAGAUAAUACAAAAUAAUCUAUGAUGCAUAUAGACUAUGAACAAAAACAUAUUGUAUAGGUAGAUAACACAAUUAAUUUGUGAUAUAUAGGUGGAUAAACACAAUUUGUCACAUCCCGGCCCGGGGUCUACUACAUCCCGGGCCUGCUCCACCACCGUAGCACGAUAUUGUCCACUUUGGGCCCCGACUACGCCCUCACGGUUUUGUUUCUGGGAACUCACACGAGAACUUCCCAGUGGGUCACCCAUUCUGGGAUUGUUCUCGCGCGAACUUGCUUAACUUCGAAGUUCCUACGGAACCCGAAGCCAGUGAGCUCCAAAAAGGCCUCGUGCUAGGUAGGGAUGAGAAUAUACAUUUAAUGAUCACUCUCCUGGGCGAUGUGGGAUGUUACAAUCCACCCCCCUUAGGGGCCCGACGUCUUUGUCGACACACUUCCGGCCAGGGAUUGACUAUGAUACGAAUUUGUCACAUCCCGGCCCGGGGUUCACCACAUCCCGUCCCGCUCCACCACCAUAGCACGAUAUUGUCUGCUUUGGGCCCCGACUACGCCAUCGCGGUUUUGUUUCUGGGAACUCGCACGAGAAUUUCCCAGUGGGUCACCCAUCUUGGGAUUGUUCUCGCGUGAACUUGCUUAACUUCGAAGUUCCUACGGAACCCGAAGCCAGUGAGCUCCCAAAAGGCCUCGUGCUAGGUAGGGAUGAUAAUAUACAUUUAAGGAUCACUCCCCUGGGCGAUGUGGGAUGUUACACAAUUAAUCUUAGAUAGAUUAUCAACAAAAUAAUAGGUAGAUAAAUACAAUUAUUCAUGAUACAUGCACAAUAUAAUAUAAAAAGAUAAAAAAAAGAAGGACAAGUGAUAUAGGUAGAUAAAAACAAAAAAAAAUCGUGCAGAAAAAUGAUAUUGAGGGAGGAAACACUAGAGAAAAUGCUAAUUCGAUAGAACUUCAAAGUUAAUAUAUAUAUAUAUAUAUAUAUAUAUAUAUAUAUAUAUAUAUAUAUAUAUAUAAAGGAGAAUGAAGCCAAAAAAAAAAAAAAAAGAUGAGACGAAGAACCUAAAACACAAGAUUGACUUAUACAAUAUUUUUUUUAAACCAUUCAAUGUAUAUUGAUCAUCCUUAUGAAAGGAGGAGCAUAAGAAGAAUAUUAUGGUAGAAGAUUACUGGGCAAAAUAACGCAGGAAGAGAAAGAUAUUGUGAGGGAGAAACAAGAAAAGAGAAAUGAACGAUUUGGGGAAGGAGAAGAAAAAAAUGGAGAUUUAAAUCUCUAAUCCUAUAAUUAAGGAUAAGAUUAACAUUAAUCACAAACUUAAAAAAAUACAGUAAUUACUUAAUUGGUAAAUUUAAGGGUAAAUUUGGCAAGAGAAUACAAAUAAGCUUAUGUGGACAAUGAAUCACUGGACCUAACCUAAAAAUUAAACAAAAUUGGAUUAUAACUAAUAAUGGCUCAUAAAAUUAGACUCAUAUUAAGUUUCCCCUUUUGGUAAAUCUGUUACGUUUACGGCAUAAAGUUAAUUACGGACUGUCAUGUGGCAUGUCUCUUCCUCAUGUAUCGAAGAGCGACACUUUUAUUGUAUCGUCUCACAUUUUUGAUACUAUAUUAGUUUCAAAAUAAUUUUACACGUUAUAUUAUCGUCACAACAACAAUGUAUAUGAGUAAUGAAAUCCUUCUCCAUGCAUUGAAAAAAAAAAAAAACCAUAGCAUGCAAGGAAUUUAUCAGGAAAGCUUCCGUGGAACUUUAAUCUCUGUACACUUAAUUAAUUGGGAUGAACUAUCAACCAAAUUUGUCCAACAAAUUAGGAAUUCUUUAAAUCGUUAUUUUAAUUUGUUAACAAGCUAAUUAACACAUAUGUAAAGUGCAACCAUAAUCACAUGAACACAUCUUUAAUUACAUGUGAUUGUUACAAAGGAUGAAACAAGAGGAAGUCUUUCCUCAAGCUUAAAUCAAGAUUUUAGAUCGGCCUACUUUGCCGUCGUAGUUUUUGCCACUUGAAUGUUAUUAACUUAUUAUUUUCUUGGUUUUUGCCGUCGUCGUCGUUUUUCCAAAUAAUACAAAACCUAACAAGAUAGAAUCACCAGAUUUAUAGGAAUCCUAAACCAAAUCUAUUAAGAAUUUGCACAAUCACAUAUUAAUUACAACAAUUCUUUGGUUUAUUUAAUUAAAAGAUCAACAUGAAUAAAAGUGUACAUGAAAAAAAAAAUGACGUGCAAAAAUCACUUCUCAACCCAAAACCCCAAAACAAAUCUUGGAUUUCAAGAAUGCAGUUGUUUCCUUGCCCGUCACGUAAUUGCCAAAAUGAUAUACUCAAGUAUAGACUUGGUAAUUUCUUACACGACUCGUUAUACGACACAAGAAUAACGGGUUUCGGGUCAACACGAUAACUAAUCGGGUCAUUAUUGGGUCAUACGAUAAUAACCCAUUAAUAACGGGUCCUUAACAUGUUUACACGAGAGUGAUACACAGGUAAUAUGUUUUGACACGAUAAGGAAAAAGUUAUUUUGAUGAUUUUAAUUUUUUAAACUACUAAAAAAAAACUUACCAUAAAAUACAAUAGAUAUAAUGAAUAUGUAUAUAUUGUUUAUUAAUUAUUAUUCUAUAUAAAUUUUAAAUUUUAAAAUUUAUUUAUUUAUUUAUUUUAUAGUAUAUUUGUCACAGCCCGUCCUGAAGAUGUGUAUUAUUUUAUUCUCGAGGACGUGAAAGGACGGUUUUAUCCUUAGACGUUGAGAUUGUAGUGUAUGUGUGACAUAUUAUGAGACUUAGAGGUUAUUUUCUUGGUUGGUUGGUGACCACGUGGAGCUCACACACACAACACUCACCCUCUCUCUUCUCUCCCGUGCUCUCUCAUCUCUUAGACUCUUUCUCUCUCUUCUCUCUUGUACGGACGACACCCAAAUCUCUUUGAAACGUGACAGAUUGAGGUACUUAAGCACACCAUUGUGUUCGUGAAGCUUAGACAAAUCGAUUGGUACCAUUUUUAGGUAAGGAAACCUUCGAUUUCACGUGGAAACCCUAGCUCUGAUUUUGUCAAUGUUCAUGCAUAUGUGAAUCUUGUGUUUCAGGGAAUUUGAAGCUUAUAUGAAGCUUAAGGAGGCCCUCACGAGUCUCGGGGUAUUUCGUUGGAAGGAAAUGGACGUCGGAGGGCUGAGAUCGACAUGUAUCUAGGUAAGCCGAACUAUCGAGCUUUCUCGGGGAAAACCUAGUAAAUCUUAAGCCUUAAAGUUAUAUAACAUGAUUCUACAUGUUAUUAGCUUCAUUUUGGUACCAAUUUUGUGGAAAAUGGUGAAGAAACGAAGGAGACUAAGCAUUUUAAAGUUUUACCCAGAAACAGGCGAAGUCGCCGGCGACCGGCGACUCACCGGAGAAGAAAGGAGUAUAUUCCGUCAAGGUUGACGGAAUAUGCUAGCGCCGUCAGUCAUCUUUAAUUGCUACCGUUGGGUUUUAACGGAAUAUUCCUGACGGCGUUGACUAACGCCGUCAGUAUCACGUGGCCGUGCUUGGAGGCGCGUAGGGCCGUGCCCUUGCCGGCGCAUGGCGGCGUGUGAGUGGUCCAAAAAUUAUUCUAAAAAUUUGGGGAUGAUCAUAAGGUUGUGUAGGUCAUUGUGGUAUAUUCAUAUACCCAAUUUGAGCUAUGUAUGAGAAGUUAUUAGCUAGUUUUGUCUAUGUGCUUUAAAAUAACGUUUUUAUAGUUAAUUUGCAUAUAAGUGAGACUUAUCCCGAGGACGAACGCAUUCAAGGGUGACUCGGGGGCUACGACCUUCGACAUACCAGUGAGGGGGCUUUUGGUUUUAGUAUAUAUCUAUAUACUUGAUAUUUUCCCAGAAAUGUGUUUAAAUGUAAGUAUGCCUUAAAUGCCAUGCAUAUGAAUUUAUAUGUCGUAUAUGAAUUGGUAUAUGUUUUAUCGAAAUUAAGGGAACACUACCUCAACCUAUAUGCUCCACUCACAAAGCUUCAACAUACAAGCUUCAACAAAAGAAAAUUCAAAGAACUUAGCAAAGAAGGCUUUGGUGUAUUUAACACAAUACGUUGAAAUGAAGGAAAGCUUAUUUAUUAAUAUCCCCGAUAAGUUACAAAUAUGUACAUAUACUUGAGUCAAAAUAAACAAACAAGAGGGAGCCUUCACAAAGGUUGCUUAGGAGAAGUUUCAGCAGUCGGUAGAGCCCCAGAAAGAGAAGGCACCGGAGGGGGAUCAUUCGGAGCCUCAGUACUGGACAAAACCCUAGAAGGAGGAGGCAUCAGAGAUUGAUCAUUUGGAGCUUCAUUACGCGGUACAGCCCCAGAAGACGAAGGCAAUAAAUGCCUUUGGAACAAACCCACAAAUCUCUGAUGAUCAAGUAAAACCUGACCAUCAGAUUCCUUCAUCUGGUCAAGCUUCCUCUUCAUGUUUGUAGCAUAGUCAUGUGCGAGCCGGUGCAACUGUUUAUUCUCAUGCUUGAGCCCUCUAAUCUCCUGUUUGAGACUCAUCACUUCAGCCGCCAAUGAUUCAACUUGGCGGGUUCGAGCAAAUAGGCGUUGGGCCAUAUUAGAGACACAGAACCUGCACACUGAACACUGAGAGCCAGAGAAUCCUUAACAGACAACUCAUCAGACCGUUUGGAAAGUAAUCUGUUAUCUUUGGGAGUGAGAAGGUUCCUGGCCACUACCGCAGCGGUCAUAUCAUUCUUCAUCACGGAAUCCCCAACGGUAAGAGGACCAGUAGGGGAGACGAAGGAUGGGCGCCAUAUGUUGUCUGGAGAAGGCGGGGCUGCCUCUUCAACAAGGUUCAAGUCAAAACGACGGUCGGAGGGGCCAGACAUUUUCAAAGGUGUUGAAGAGAGAAGAGGUCGGACAAAUCAAGAUCUUAGAAGUGCAAGAAUGGAGCUUCUACUGGUGGAUAUUCAAGUGUGCUUUGGAACUUAAUGUCAGCCCCUAUAAAAAUCUGCACUCGACGAAGCUUCAGAAAUCGAAGAAGCGCCUGCUCAGAAAUCGAAGAGACGUUUGCUUUCUCAAAAGCUGGGCUGCUCAGAGACCACGAGGGUCGAUCUCAGAAAUCGAAGAGGUGUUUGCUUUCUCAAAAGCAGGGCUGCUCAAAGACCACAAAGGCCGAUCUCAGAAAUCGAAGAGGCUUGCUUUCUCAAAAGCUGGGCUGCUCAGAGACCACGAGGGCCGAUUUCAGAAAUCGAAGAGGCACCUACUUUUCCAGCCUUGUCAGCACCUGUCACACGCACACUCAGCUUUGCGGAAAUUAUGGGCAUUCUGUCGAAGAUUUCUGGCGAAGUAGAAAGCACAUGAAUCGUACUGUUCAAUCACCCACUUCCCACACGCAACAGUAGCUCAUGGGUACCACAGAUAACUUUGCCAAAGUUCUCUGACAAAGUUGAGACACGUGAAGCUUGCAGCUCCCACUACAUCGCUCUGACCAAGAAGGGUAAAAGAAUUGCAAAGAAACAACACUAACAAAGUUUAGACACAUAAAUUUUGAAGGUCUAGCUACCAUAUUAUUACCCACAAGGGUAAAGGAACAGUACUACUGCUGGAUAAUUGGAAAGUCCCGGUGUGUCAACCUCUGUGCUUCGUGGCAAGGUAGACUAGCAAACAUGCCCAACCUUUACUCACAUUCGAGAAAACACUCCUAACAAGAUUGCUUGCUCCAAAAUCGAAGAGGCACCGCCCUCCGAAUCUCGAGAGCCAGACUCCCAACAUGAUUACUUUCUCAAAAAUUGAAGAGAGGGUAAAGGAACAGUACCACUGCUGGAUAAUUGGAAAGUCCCUGUGUGUCAACCUUUGUGCUUCGUGGCAAGGUAGACUAGCAAACAUGCCCAACCUUUACUCACAUUCAAGAAAACACUCCCAACAAGAUUGCUUGCUCCAAAAUCGAAGAGGCACGGCCCUCCGAAUCUCGAGAGCCAGACUCCCAACAUGAUUACUUUCUCAAAAUCGAAGAGAGGGUAAAGGAACAGUACCACUGCUGGAUAAUUGGAAAGUCCAUGUGUGUCAACCUCUGUGCUUCGUGGCAAGGUAGACUAGCAAACAUGCCCAACCUUUACUCACAUUCGAGAAAACACUCCCAACAAGAUUGCUUGCUCCAAAAUCGAAGAGGCACGGCCCUCCGAAUCUCGAGAGCCAGACUCCCAACAUGAUUACUUUCUCAAAAAUCGAAGAGACACCGCUCUCCGAAUCUCGAGAGCCAGACCCCCAACAAGAUUGCUUUCUCAAAAAUCGAAGAGGCAUCGUUCUCCGAAUCUCGAGAGCCAGACCCCCGACAAGUCUGUAAUCUUCACACGCAACAUCAGCUUUCCAGAUACCACAAACCACUUUUUCAAAGUGCUCUGACAGAGUUAAAACAUGUGAAGUUGGCAGCUCCCACUACCGUGCUAUAACCAAGCAGGGUAAAGGAAUAGCAUUAUUACUUGAUGUUAGGGAGACUCCUAUAUAUGUCGACUUCCAUCCCUAACGGACAGGCAGACCUGCAAAAAUGCUCAACCCUUUCUCUUAUCUGAGAGGGCACUCCCAACAAAGCCUUUCAAAAUAUUCAGCUUUCUUUCCACCCGAUAAUACCUCUGUAAACAAGCUAUACUAGAGCAAGAAUAUCUCAUAUCAUCAGGGUUAAAAGCAAGAGUAUCCCAUAUCAUGCUUUUUCCCUGUCUUUUCCUUUGGCCUUGUUCUUACCUGCAAGACAAGGAGAAAGAGAGCAAUCAGUCAACACUUGGAAUCAAGCUUCCAGCCAGGAACUGACUGCCUGGAACCCCUUACCUGAUUACUUACCUGGCAUUGCUCUCGAGUACUCAUCUUCAACAUCUUAUGCUUCCAGGGAAGAUACCGCAUCUGCCUGAGGAACAGAUAGGGCAAGUGAGAAGGAUACAAGGAAGCAUGUGGAGACAAGUGUAACAGCACACGUGCCGAUACAUCCACUACUCUAUCAAAAGCAAAAGUAUCCCAUAUCAGCAGGGUCGAACGUACUCUAGAUUUGAUGGACUUGUUUUUGACCCUCAAAUUCUUCAGUCGGCCUUAUACUCUGGAGGAAACCAGAAAACCCUCCAGCCCAGUUCAAGAAUAAGCCUGUGGAAAGUUACUUCUUCAAAAGCAAAAGUAUCCCAUAUCAUCUCUCCUCAUUUUUCUUCUCUUUAUCCUUCAUGCUGCCUGCAAAAUAGGGAGAAUGUGAACAAUCAGCCGGAGCUCUGAUUGCUUACCUUUGUCUGUCACCUCUUUCAGCAGAUCCCCCAGCUCGGCGACUUGGGGGACUCCUACUACAUGGUUUGUAUCUCGCUUGACCAAGCAUGAAACUACAAGUAAGCUUCAAGUGAAAUUGAUACAUUACCUUGUGCAUCUCCACCAGUUACAGAUACCACCCCUGGAUGGAGGAAGAGUACUUCCAGAGAAGAUGCCACAUCUACCUAUGAGACAGAUAAGGCAAGUCAAGACGAUACCACACUCCGGUACUUAGAAGUUUCGUGGCUACGAGAUCAUUCUCCCACAAUAUUUCCUAAUGUCAUUUGUACUAAAUCAUUCACUUGUACUCACUAAAGGAGAGCUUGAACCUAUGUACUUGUGUAAACCCUUCACAAUUAAUGAGAACUCCUCUAUUCCGUGGACGUAGCCAAUCUGGGUGAACCACGUACAUCUUGUGUUUGCUUUCCUAUCUCUAUCCAUUUAUAUCCACACUAAUGACCGGAGCAAUCUAGCGAAGAUCACAAAAAGUGAUCGUUUUCGCUACCUAGGAUCUAUCUUGCAAGAGAACGGAGAAUUAGAUGGAGAUCUCAACCAUAGAAUACAAGCUGGAUGGAUGAAGUGUAAGAGUGCAUCCGGCGUGUUGUGUGACCGUCGUAGGCCACUAAAGCUCAAGGGAAAAUUUUAUAGGACGGCAAUAAGGCCAGCGAUGUUGUAUGGCACAAAAUGUUGGGCGGUGAAGCAUCAACGUACACAAAAUGGGUGUAGCGGAGAUGAGGAUGCUUCGUGGGAUGUAUGGGCACACGAGAAAGGAUAAGAUUGGGAAUUAGGAUAUCCGAGGUAAAGUAGGAGUAGCCAAAAUUGAAGGAAAUAUGAGAGAAAAUCGGUUCCGGUGGUUUGGACAUGUGCAAAGAAGGCCUACUGACGCUCCGGUUCGAAAAUGUGACUACGGGACAGAGGUUCGGAGCCGAAGGAGUAGAGGAAGACCUAGGAAAACUUUGGAAGAGACCCUAAGAAAAGACUUGAGUACUUGGAUUUAACGGAGGACAUGACACAAAUGAGCGCAAUGGCGUUCUAGGAUUCAUAUAGCCGACCCCACUUAGUGGGAAAAGGCUUUGUUGUUGUUGUUGUAUAUGAAUUGGUAUAUGAUGCAUUAUAUAUAAUUGUAGUGUUGUGGAUGCUCAGGUAAGCUCAGGUGAGUUAUGUUUGGUUAUGUGAAUUAUCGAUGAUGUGAUAUGUGAUUGAAUAACAUUGAGCUCAUAAAACUACACUUAGGAUGAUUGUGAUUUAGCCAGAGAUAUGGCACAUGCCUGUUUAUUAUGUCACCUCUCGCACCAUAUGCUCAUAUUGGAUCCAAUUUAGGUGCACAAUCUUGUCGUACAGACCUUUGUUAUGGUUCCGACUCGUAGGUGACUAGUGAUUCAUCACCCAACUAUUAUGUGAGAGUAGUAUUGAUCAUGAUUAUAUUACACCCAUUAUUGUCGUACAUACCUUUUCAUUUGGUUCCGACUCUUGUGCAGUAUAUUGCCAUAUAGGUCAUUGUAGUGAUUCCGGCUAGAUUGACUUUUGAGCUAUGAAUUCAGUCGUACAGACUACCACAGGAGUUCCAGCUAGCAUGUUAUAUUUCUAUGAAAUUAUUCUUACCUGAAUUGCUUACUCUGUUAUAUCUUGGCAUGACAUACAUAUGAAUAUGAGUAUGUAAAGUAUGAUUUGAAUUGAUAUAUUUACAUAUAUAUUUAUGUAUAUGCUUAUAUCAUGAUUUUGUGAAAAAUUAUACAUGUUUUACAACGAGGGGUUAGAUAUGUUGAUAAAUGAAAUGGUUUUGUAAAACAUUUGUUUUUGCCCACUCACGUUUUCUGUUUUGCGCCCCUCCAGGUUUUAGGUAAGUUCGCAGUUGCUGGAUGCGAGGACUUCAACGGUUUUGACCUAUCAAAAUAAUAGUAGGACAUUCCUGGUACUGUAUAAUUAGUACUUGUCCUACUGGACUGCACCUAAACUUUCUAUGCUCUGAUUAGGAGUAUUUACUUUUGUAUCUUACUCCUAACACUUCCUGUUUAGUAGUGCACUCUAGUAGUUCGGUUUUUAAUUAUUCAUAUAUUUCUUAUCAUUAUUGCUUCCGCACUGUGCACCUGGCUACGUCAUUCUCACGUGAUGGCCAAUAUGUUUCGACCUCGGUCGGGGUGUGUCAAUAUUAUAGGCAAAGAUUGAGAUAAAAAUCAUAAAACACAUUAAAAAUAAAAAUAUCAAGUAAUUUAAAAAUACCAAACACAUUAAAAAAUUAUAAUAAUUAAUUUACAUGUGCAAAAAAUAUGAAAAAAAUAGGCAAACGCUCGUAGUCGCAUCCUCUGCGCUUUGAGGAUGGGUAUAUGAUUGUUUGAAUUCUUAAAACCAUACAAACUCUCAUGAAUCGUAUUUUAAAGGGAGUUCAAAAUAAACAAAAUUCAUAAUCAUUAAUGUAUAAGUCUGAAAGAUGUGAAAGCAUAAUAAAUGUUCAUAAUUGCAUCCAUCCUCAACGUUUAGACGAUGGUUGCAUGGUAGUUUAGAUUUUUAAAACCGUCCAAAUCUCAUGAACAGUGUUUUUUAUUUGAGUGCAAAAUUAAUAAUAAUUAUUGUAGAAGUGUGAAAAAUGUAAUCACUCGUAAUGAAAAGCUUUACAACUUUCAUGAAGGGGUUAACUCCAAAAUUUAGUAUGUAUAUACUAAUUUAGUAUUAUGUUUUACAUUUUUUUGGUUCAAAUUAUGUUUUUCAUUUUUAGUUUUAUUGAUUUAAAAUGUAUUUUUCUUAACGGGGUAAUGGGUCGGGUCAUAUUGCCUGAUAAUAUUAAUGGGUUGAUUUCGGGUCGGGUCAUAUUACCCCGUUUACUUUAACGGGUAUUACACGACACGACCCGUUAAGCUAUUGGGUAUGACAUGAAAACGACACGAACACGAGAAACACGAGGUCUACUCAAGUACUCCAUUUCUUGGUAUUUGUUCUCCAAAAAAAAAAAAAAAAUACACACACACACACAUAUUUGUAUUGAUGUGUAUUUGGAAGCUUGGAUUAUGUUUUCAUUUGUCUCGUUUUAAGGGUGUGACUAAAUUAUUUUAGAAUAGACCAUCCAUGCAUUUUUCUUUUGUGGAUAAUAGCUGUUCAUCCAUAUUUAGCAUUCGUAAUUAGCAAUGUGCAAAAUGAGCUUAAUUGAGAGUUAGAUUUAACUUAUCACUCCAACUUUUAUGCUUUACAUGUGGUUAGGUUUUCCUAAUUGAAACCCUAAAAUCAAGAUGAAAGGUUGAACAAAGAGCUAUCCAUUUUGGUUAAUUCCUCAUGGUGGUGACCAUAUCAAUUUGGUGGGUGUCCAAGAUCCUUUGUCACAUGAACACCAAAGACCUAAAUUCAAUUAAAGCACACAAUACAUGGCGGCCUAACAACCUAACGGCUGCGAAUUAAUUUGAAUUUUGGUAUUUGACUAUAUAUAUGAAUUUGAAUUUUGGUAUUUGACUAUAGAUAUGAAUUUGAAAAAUGAGAAGAAGAAUAGCUUUCUUGUCACAUCCCAACCCGGGCCCCAAUCACAUUCCGGGCUUGACUCCACCGUAGCACGAUAUUAUCCGCUUUGGGCCCCGACCACGCCCUCACGAUUUUGUUUCUGGGAACUCACAAUAUUAAUCGUUGCAUGAUAAUCCUGUCAUUUAUACUCUUAAUUUUAAUAGGGAGAAUCAACAAAAAAUUCUAAGCAUUAACACAUAAAUAAGAGGUAAGAUAGAAGAUAAACAAUAAAAAGUUGUAUACAUCAAGAUAGAUUUUACAAAUCUUAUAGUUGUCGAAUUAAUUUGAAUUUUGGUAUUUGACUAUAUAUAUGAAUUUGAAUUUUGGUAUUUGACUAUAUAUAUGAAUUUGAAAAAUGAGAAGAAGAAUAGCUUUCCUGUCACAUCCCGACCCGGGCCCCAACCACAUUUCGGGCUUGACUCCACUGUAGCACGAUAUUAUCAGCUUUGGGUCCCGACCACGCCCUCAUGGUUUUGUUUUUGGGAACUCACACGAGAACUUCCCAGUGGGUCACCUAUCAUGGGAUUGCUCUCGCAUGAACUUGCUUAACUUCGGAGUUCCGAUGGAACCUGAAGCCAGUGAGCUCCCAAAAAGCCUCAUGUUAGGUAGAGAUGAGAAUAUACAUAUAAGGGUUAUAGGAUCAACUCCCCUGGGCGAUGUGGGAAGUUACAAUCCACCUCCCUUAGGGGCCCGACGUCCUCGUCGGCACACUUCUGGCCAGGGAUUGGCUCUGAUACCAAAUUAUCACAUCCCGGUCCGGACCCCCACCACAUCCCGGGCUCGACUCCACCGUAGCACGAUAUUGUCCACUUUGGGACCUGACCAUGCUCUUACCGUUUUGUUUCUAGGAACUCACACGAGAACUUUCCAGUGGAUCACCCAUCAUGAGAUUGCUCUCGUGCGAACUUGCUUAACUUCGAAGUUCCAAUGGAACCCGAAGCUAAUGAGCUCUCAAAAGGCCUCGUGCUAGGUAGAGAUGGGAAUAUAAAUAUAAGGCUUACAUGAUCCACUCCCCUGGGCGAUGUGGGAUGUUGCAUUUCUAGACUUGGAGUCCUGCUUCUGGGUUGCACUGUGAAAGAGAAAGAUCAAAGUAGAUUUUUUUUUUAAAAAAAUUUAUAAGUGAAGGUUUAAUGUAGAUUUAAAAAAAAAAAAAAAUCUAUAAGUGAAAGUUUAAUGUUAAAGUUGUUUAUAGCCAUUUAGUACUACGGUCUGGUGAUAUUCCUCUUUACUUGUAAGUGAGAGGUCUUAGGUUCGAAUAUCGUGGAUGGCGAAUUCAAUACCAAACUAAGUUGCCAUUGUAUGGCUUAACCGAACUCCCCCCUCCCCUUAGUGUAAAAUAUAUUUGUUGUACUAAAAAAACAAAAGUUAAGGUUGUUUAUCAAAUGUCAAAGAUUAUUAAUUUGAUGUCAUAUAAAUAUAAUAAUUGUGGUGGGAUGUAACCAGACUUGGAAGUUGGCAUUUGGAAUUAGGGAAGAAUAUGUUUAAAUUUGUUGCUUUGUUGACAAAUAAGAGCAUAGAGUAAAUGAAUGAAGCAUGAUAAUUGAAGGAGGGUUGAAAAGAAAAGGUCAGGAUAGCCGCCCUAGGCCAAUCCUUGUCCCUCCGCCAUAGUGUAGUACCGUGAAGGGUAGAGUAACAACAAAAAUUUCUUAAUUAGUCACUUAUUUUAAUUGAUUCUCAUGAAAACUCUCCCAUUUUCAAUACAUUAUCAUGUAUUGAAUAUGGAAUUCUAUAACAUUUGUAGAGUUUGAAUGUUUCCACAGACCCCACAUAGAUGAUAGAGUUAUGCAGACUUCUAGUAGAAUUGCACUUGUACAUUUAGGUGGAAUAUGUUUAAAUUUGUUGCAUUGUUGACAAAUAAGAGCAUGACUGUAUGAAUGAAGCAUGAUAAUUGGAGGAGGGUUGAAAAGAAAAAGUCAGGAUUGGUUAAUUAGUCACUUAUUUUAAUUGAUUCUCAUGACAAUUCUCCCGUUUUCAAUACAUUAUAUGGAAUUCUACAACAUUUGUAGAGUUUGAAUGUUUCCACAGACCCCACAUAGAUGAUAGAGUUAUGCAGACUUCUAGUAGAAUUGCACUUGUACAUUUAGGUGGAAGUUUGAUCAAGGCAUGUAAAAUAGACCGGCGUAUAAAAUAGAGGGAGUCAAACAAAAAUUCAAAUAUCAGUGCCGAAAGCUAACCUCACUUGAUAGACUAAAAUUUGUUUCCAUGUAAGAAGACUUAAAAUACAAAGCGCGAAUUGACGAAAAGGAAGUUCUGGCUUUAUAUAUAGAGAAGAUAAGUAAACACAUUCAGGUGGCAUUAAGUAUCACAAUACAAACAUAGACAGUCCAAUGGCCCUGCAGCUGGAAGAAGAGGAAAACUUCGGCUGUGCCAUGCAGCUGGUGUUUUCUUCUGUGCUGUCCAUGUCUAUGCAAUCAGCAAUCGAGCUAGGCGUUUUCGACAUCAUAGUGAAAGCCGGUCCUGGUGCCAAUCUGUCUUCAUCAGAGAUUGCAGCCCAUAUCGGCAGCGGCACCAGGAAUUCUGAGGCACCGAUGAUGUUGGAUCGUAUUCUAAGGCUCCUAGCCAGUUACUCUAUUCUCAGCUGCUCUGUCGUUGCUAAUGAAGAUGGGUCUGAUUCUCAGAGGCUCUACAGCCUUGGUCCUGUGUCCAACUACUUUGUGACUAAUGAAGAUGGUGUUUCUUUCGGUCCCAUGAUGGCAUUGAUGCAAGACAAGGUCGUCCUAGACUCCUGGUC